This 69-nucleotide transfer RNA is filed under the name Rattus norvegicus (Norway rat). It matches the Rfam family "tRNA". From Rfam's summary of the family: Transfer RNA (tRNA) molecules are approximately 80 nucleotides in length. Their secondary structure includes four short double-helical elements and three loops (D, anti-codon, and T loops). Further hydrogen bonds mediate the characteristic L-shaped molecular structure. tRNAs have two regions of fundamental functional importance: the anti-codon, which is responsible for specific mRNA codon recognition, and the 3' end, to which the tRNAs corresponding amino acid is attached (by aminoacyl-tRNA synthetases). tRNAs cope with the degeneracy of the genetic code in two manners: having more than one tRNA (with a specific anti-codon) for a particular amino acid; and 'wobble' base-pairing, i.e. permitting non-standard base-pairing at the 3rd anti-codon position. Lineage: Eukaryota; Metazoa; Chordata; Mammalia; Rodentia; Muridae. The record is from Rfam by way of RNAcentral.
GGGGAUUUAGCUCAGUUGUAGAGCGCUUGCCUAGCAAGCGCAAGGCCCUGGGUUCGAUCCCCAGCUCCG